CUUUCAUUUAGAGGAAGUACAAGUCGUAACAAGGUAUCCGUAGGUGAACCUGCGGAUGGAUCAUUACCAAAGGACUCUGUCCCAACGUAUUGUGAACUGUUUUGAAUCACAGUCAGUUCUCUGCUCAAAACAACGGCCGUUAAAAGCAUUAGUGAGGGCGAAUUCACAGAGAGCCUCAAAACUCUCUAGGGAUGAGGGCUGACUGUACCCCUAAACGCCUUAUUUCCAAACUGAAGUCUACUUAGUAAUAACUAAAGAUAACUUUUAGCAACGGAUCUCUUGGCUCUC
This 288-nucleotide unclassified non-coding RNA is filed under the name fungal sp. RNAcentral's name for it is "partial internal transcribed spacer region". The stretch from base 1 to 66 matches the Rfam family "Eukaryotic small subunit ribosomal RNA", at positions 1766 to 1831 of the family's 1831-position model. The record is from RNAcentral. Lineage: Eukaryota; Fungi.